Molecule: ribosomal RNA, 484 nt
Filed under: uncultured bacterium
Lineage: Bacteria
Description: partial 16S ribosomal RNA
Rfam family: Bacterial small subunit ribosomal RNA
Source: RNAcentral
AUUGAACGCUGGCGGCAUGCCUUACACAUGCAAGUCGAACGGCAGCGCGGGAGCAAUCCUGGCGGCGAGUGGCGAACGGGUGAGUAAUACAUCGGAACGUGCCCAAUCGUGGGGGAUAACGCAGCGAAAGCUGUGCUAAUACCGCAUACGAUCUACGGAUGAAAGCAGGGGAUCACAAGACCUUGCGCGAAUGGAGCGGCCGAUGGCAGAUUAGGUAGUUGGUGAGGUAAAGGCUCACCAAGCCUUCGAUCUGUAGCUGGUCUGAGAGGACGACCAGCCACACUGGGACUGAGACACGGCCCAGACUCCUACGGGAGGCAGCAGUGGGGAAUUUUGGACAAUGGGCGAAAGCCUGAUCCAGCCAUGCCGCGUGCAGGAUGAAGGCCUUCGGGUUGUAAACUGCUUUUGUACGGAACGAAACGGUCUUUUCUAAUAAAGAAGGCUAAUGACGGUACCGUAAGAAUAAGCACCGGCUAACUACGUG